UGUAUUAGGUUGGUGCAUAAGUAAUUGUGGUUUUUGCCAUAGAAGUCAUGGCAAAAACCACAAUUACUUAUGCACCAACCUAAUAUA
Molecule: microRNA precursor, 87 nt
Organism: Chlorocebus sabaeus (green monkey)
Lineage: Eukaryota; Metazoa; Chordata; Mammalia; Primates; Cercopithecidae
Source: Ensembl